GGCUGGUCCAAUGGUAGUGGGUUAUCAGAACUUAUUAACAUUAGUGUCACUAAAGUCGGCAAACAAUCUUCCACUGCUAAAUUUAGCUUAAA
RNAcentral lists this small RNA (92 nucleotides) under Propithecus coquereli (Coquerel's sifaka). RNAcentral's name for it is "Y RNA (ENSPCOG00000008857.1)". The record is from RNAcentral. Lineage: Eukaryota; Metazoa; Chordata; Mammalia; Primates; Indriidae.